RNAcentral lists this long non-coding RNA (433 nucleotides) under Mus pahari (shrew mouse). RNAcentral describes it as "lncRNA (MGP_PahariEiJ_G0004916.1)". The record is from RNAcentral. Lineage: Eukaryota; Metazoa; Chordata; Mammalia; Rodentia; Muridae.
GAUCUGGCUGUAGAACUCUCAGCCACCUCUCCAUCACCAUGUCUGCCUGCAUGCCACCAUGUUUCCCGCCAUGAUGACAAUGGACUAAAACUCUGAACUCUUACAGCACCAUAGAGAUAGAAGACUAGCUACGGGGGUUCUCCAUACAGCUCACACUAAAGCCGUUGGCUGGAGAGUCCGGUAUCUUGGACUGAAGGGAGACCACGGCUGACCUGACAGAGUCCUGGGCUUUUCCUCACUGGGAAGCAGAGUCUUUGCUGGCUGCUUGGUCCCCUUGGGUGGCUACUGCUGUGCCUUAUUUACAGAGUGGAGAUGGAGAUGAAAUCCAAGGUCUUUCAAGAUAUGCAAAUGAAACAUCCUUUUUUAUUCAAAUUGUGGCAGAGCAUUAAAAAAAGUAACAUUUUGAUUAAAAAUUAUAUUUGUGAAUAUUCCC